ACUAAAGUAGCAAAGUGGUUAAUGCAAAAGAUUUAGGAUCUUUUAGUUUAAUGGUUCAAUUCCGUUUCUUUGGUU
RNAcentral lists this transfer RNA (75 nucleotides) under Comatella nigra. RNAcentral describes it as "tRNA-Leu". It matches the Rfam family "tRNA". From Rfam's summary of the family: Transfer RNA (tRNA) molecules are approximately 80 nucleotides in length. Their secondary structure includes four short double-helical elements and three loops (D, anti-codon, and T loops). Further hydrogen bonds mediate the characteristic L-shaped molecular structure. tRNAs have two regions of fundamental functional importance: the anti-codon, which is responsible for specific mRNA codon recognition, and the 3' end, to which the tRNAs corresponding amino acid is attached (by aminoacyl-tRNA synthetases). tRNAs cope with the degeneracy of the genetic code in two manners: having more than one tRNA (with a specific anti-codon) for a particular amino acid; and 'wobble' base-pairing, i.e. permitting non-standard base-pairing at the 3rd anti-codon position. Lineage: Eukaryota; Metazoa; Echinodermata; Crinoidea; Comatulida; Comatulidae. The record is from RNAcentral.